RNAcentral lists this unclassified non-coding RNA (322 nucleotides) under Hevea brasiliensis (rubber tree). The record is from RNAcentral. Lineage: Eukaryota; Viridiplantae; Streptophyta; Magnoliopsida; Malpighiales; Euphorbiaceae.
AAAAAAGUCAAAGCCAGUAACUUUUGAGACUUUGAGCAUGCAAGAGACCAGAAUUAGAAAGCAAGAUUUGCAAACAUGUUUGCAUGAAAGUCUACACUUAACAAAUCUCAAGUCAUAGAUUAUCUAACACAGCCAUUAAAGUACAACUUAUGCACAUUACAUCCAUACACUCAAACAUCAUUCAAAUUUAUCAAACUUGCAUUCCAUUUGGAAGACAAGAUGAGGUAUAUUAUGUUUAUAACACAUAACUAAUAAAUAGAGAGGAUUUGAGUCCAUGAGACCAUAAUUGAAAUGCUUAUCGAGUAAUAAAUGGGAAAAAAAA